GCGGGGGUGCCCGAGCAUGGUCAAAGGGGGCGGACUUAAGAUCCGCUGGAGUAGUCCUGCGCGGGUUCAAAUCCCGCCCCCCGCA
Molecule: transfer RNA, 85 nt
Filed under: Metallosphaera cuprina Ar-4
Lineage: Archaea; Thermoproteati; Thermoproteota; Thermoprotei; Sulfolobales; Sulfolobaceae
Also listed under: 3 other names
Description: tRNA-Leu (TAA) (tRNA-Leu-TAA-1-1)
Rfam family: tRNA
About the family: Transfer RNA (tRNA) molecules are approximately 80 nucleotides in length. Their secondary structure includes four short double-helical elements and three loops (D, anti-codon, and T loops). Further hydrogen bonds mediate the characteristic L-shaped molecular structure. tRNAs have two regions of fundamental functional importance: the anti-codon, which is responsible for specific mRNA codon recognition, and the 3' end, to which the tRNAs corresponding amino acid is attached (by aminoacyl-tRNA synthetases). tRNAs cope with the degeneracy of the genetic code in two manners: having more than one tRNA (with a specific anti-codon) for a particular amino acid; and 'wobble' base-pairing, i.e. permitting non-standard base-pairing at the 3rd anti-codon position.
Source: RNAcentral